ACGGGAGGCAGCAGUGGGGAAUAUUGCGCAAUGGGGGCAACCCUGACGCAGCAACGCCGCGUGAAGGAAGAAGGUCUUCGGAUUGUAAACUUUUGUCCUAUGGGACGAUAAUGACGGUACCAUAGAAGAAAGCUCCGGCUAACUACGUGCCAGCAGCCGCGGUAAUACGUAGGGAGCGAGCGUUGUCCGGAAUUACUGGGUGUAAAGGGUGCGUAGGCGGGUCUGCAAGUCAGAUGUGAAAUCUACGGGCUUAACUCGUAGCCUGCAUUUGAAACUGCAGAUCUUGAGGACAGGAGAGGCAAGCGGAAUUCCCAGUGUAGCGGUGAAAUGCGUAGAUAUUGGGAGGAACACCAGUGGCGAAGGCGGCUUGCUGGACUGUAGCUGACGCUGAGGCACGAAAGCGUGGGGAGCAAACAGGAUUAGAUACCCUGGUA
RNAcentral lists this ribosomal RNA (434 nucleotides) under uncultured Oscillospiraceae bacterium. RNAcentral describes it as "partial 16S ribosomal RNA". It matches the Rfam family "Bacterial small subunit ribosomal RNA", at positions 341 to 792 of the family's 1533-position model. The record is from RNAcentral. Lineage: Bacteria; Bacillati; Bacillota; Clostridia; Eubacteriales; Oscillospiraceae.